AUGUGCUUUUUUAUUUUUAUUUUAUUUUUCUAAAUUUUUCAGUGAGUGACUGCCCUAUAUAUGUAUGCACACAUACUGCUCAAACCCUAAACCCUAUGCUCUUACUUCAAUUAUCUUGCCUUUUAAGCGCCGCGCACUGAAACCCUAAUUUAACAUUAGCUGUAACUAGUGUAAUCGUCGACUCAAUUUUUUCAACAUGGCCAGUGAUGCGAUUCUAUAUUGCGACUGAAAGUGCAAGGUGUCAAACUUUGUAUAAAUGUCGAGAUUCAUGAACUAGGACGGUCUGAGGCUUUUUGUUUUUUCAUUUCAACUUGUUUUUUUUAGUAUUUUCGUGGAUUGGAAUUAUUUUCCAAUUUUUAUUUAUAUAAAGGAAAAAAAUUGAAUUGCUGUGGGUGAUGAGACUAUAAAUUUACAGUUAUCCCUGUC
Humulus lupulus (European hop) is the source of this 426-nucleotide long non-coding RNA. RefSeq lists it as uncharacterized. The transcript has 2 exons. NCBI's taxonomy places the organism in Eukaryota, Viridiplantae, Streptophyta, Magnoliopsida, Rosales, Cannabaceae. The record is from RefSeq and is a predicted model, not a curated record.